CCUACGGGUGGCAGCAGUGGGGAAUAUUGCACAAUGGGGGAAACCCUGAUGCAGCGACGCCGCGUGAGUGAAGAAGUAAUUCGUUAUGUAAAGCUCUAUCAGCAGGGAAGAAAAUGACGGUACCUGAGUAAGACGCCCCGGCUAACUACGUGCCAGCAGCCGCGGUAAUACGUAGGGGGCAAGCGUAAUCCGGAUUUGCUGGGUGUAAAGGGAAGUUAGACGGCAGAGCAAGUCGGGAGGGAAAGGCGGGGGCUCAACCCCCGGAGUGCUGUGGAAACUGUACGGCUGGAGUGCAGGAGAGGUAAGUGGAAUGCCUGGUGUAGCGGUGAAAUGCGUAGAUAUUAGGAGGAACACCGGUGGCGAAGGCGGCUUACUGGACUGUAACUGACGUUGAGGCACGAAAGCGUGGGGAGCAAACAGGAUUAGAUACCCUUGUAGUC
Molecule: ribosomal RNA, 440 nt
Filed under: uncultured bacterium
Lineage: Bacteria
Description: partial 16S ribosomal RNA
Rfam family: Bacterial small subunit ribosomal RNA
Source: RNAcentral